Long non-coding RNA from Podarcis muralis (Common wall lizard), 4320 nucleotides. RefSeq lists it as uncharacterized. Lineage: Eukaryota; Metazoa; Chordata; Lepidosauria; Squamata; Lacertidae. The record is from RefSeq and is a predicted model, not a curated record.
CGGCAGGAAGGCUCGGCGCGUGCGCAGAGAAGCCGGGAGAGGAAACUGGGCCUUGUGCGCAUGCGCCAGAUGGAGAGCGCCCCGAUUGAAAGUGCGAGGAAGAGGCUGUUUCAGUGGAUAUCGGCGACUCCAAGGAUGUGUGCAGGAGGAGCCCAAAUGGGAAGAAACCCCUUGACCCCCAGAGAGACGCUGACUCGGACCGUCCCUGAGCUUAGACCAUGAAACCUACAAGAGCGACACCUUGGGGGACUCUGGAUACCUCAAGGAGGUCAGAUCAGCGAAGGAAAGUGGGAAAAAGAAUCCCCAGCGGGGGUCAUCUGCUCGGAGCCGCACCCCCGUCAAGGAGACUCCUGGUACCCCAUCAGAGCCCCACGAGACUUACUUGUGUGGCGGCGGCAAGGACAUGCCCCUGGGCGACCAUCAGAGCCCUGCACGACCCCCUCACGCCUCACUCAGUUCCCCCGUCUCCGCCUGCCCAGCGGCCUCGGUUCUGCUUGCGCCCCUCUGCUGGUACUGGUGCUUGGUUGCACUGGUGGCGGUGCUUUUUUGAAAACCCAGUGGCUGCUGGUGCUGGGGUAGUGGCAGGGGAAGUAGUGGUGUUUCCUCGUCCUCAAAUCCACCGCCUCACCCGCAUGCUGAGCAGCCUCCUCUCUGAUUGUGCCGUGCUGGGUUCCAGUGGUGGCGCAGGUGGCGGUGCUUUUUGGAAAACCCGGUGGCUGCUGGUGCUGGGGUAGUGGCAGGGGAAGUAGUGGUGUUUCCUCGUCCUCAAAGUGCCUCUGGGUGCAUGCAGCUGCUGUGUUGGCGAAUCCACUGCCUCAACUGCGUGCAGAGCAGCCUCCUCUCUGCUUGCGCCCUGCUGCUGCUGGUUCUGGGUUCCAGUGGUGGCGCAGGUGGUGGCACUUUUUUAAAGGCCUUUUGGACACAGGCGAUGAGGGAACGCAGGCCAAGGCACGAGGGGGUCCUGGGACUCCUUUUCCCGCUUUCCAUUUCUAGCCUGACAAUUCACCUCCAGAUUCUGGGAAACAGCCAUGAUCAUUAAUCAGUCUAUCGAUUAAUUUAAUCUGUAUGCCGUCCUUCCUCUGAAGCUCUCAGGGAGGCUUGCAGCAUAAAAAGACAAAAUAAAAACACAGCAUACACAUUAAAAACAAGAACGAACUCAUAAGCCAACCUCCCAAUCCACAAGCAUGUUUAAAAGGCCAUGCAUUGUUUAAUUAGCCAAAGGCCUGGUUCUAGGGCAGAAAGGCCACUACCAUUGUGCUACGAGCCCUGCUGGGCACCUCUCAGAAUCUGAACCCACCCCGCACCCUACCUGCUUCGCAUCUCCAGCAGCCUCCAGGCUGUCAGAACAAACAUUGCUGGCUCCCGCCUCCUUUCUGGGCUGGGCAGAGAGUGCUGGUCCUGCUCAUCUGACCUUCAAAGAUGUUUCUUCUUUUUUUUUGCACUUCCAUGCCAUGAUAGGCGAGAGAGGGCUGCUGUGGGGUCACCGGCCCGCAGGAGAGGUACUCCUCCUUGUUCACCUGGAAACGCAUGCAAGCAGAUAACUUACAAGAUAAAUACUGAACCAAAAGCAACCUAAGAAAAAUAACUUUUUUUUUUAAUGACUGGAUAAACCACUCAUUCAAUUGUAUCACCUCUUGACUGAUUGCUUGGAGGAGUUCCAGAUAAAUAUAUAGAUGAUAAUAUUUAUUAUUAUCAUCUAUAUACUUAGACAUAUUUCUGGACAUCUUUUUGAGGCAAUUUUGUGCCCCACCCCUCACCUGCGCCCCUGGCGGGGGCCCAUCUCACCACCCCCUAGCUUGGGCCCUGCCUGGACCAUAGAGAAACCCUCUCCAUAAAACUAUAGGGAUCUCUAAAUCAGGCCUUCCUCCUCCACCCCCUGGAUCACUGGGAAACACUUCCCCUGCCACACAAGGUCACAACAUACCUCCGGAUUUUCCUGGGUUUCCCUGCACCGCUGGGCUGCUGCUGGUUCCCCAAACCACGGCCCUGCAAAGGAAGAAGGACAUUGUACUCUCUAGGGGGGCAGAACAAGCACCCCUGCCAGGCUGCCCAUGCCCACGUCACCACAGGCUGCCUACCUGCUCCUGCCUGGGCGCCUGACCCCUGGCUUGGAAGGAGGGGAGCAAGGGGCUGGGGCGAGACGGGACUGCAACCCCCCAACCCAGCCCUGUUUCACGCAGGUCAGCGCCAUGACCUCCCUGUAAAUGUGGGGAAUGGAUUCCCCAUGGAAUUAACUUACCACAAUCUCCAGAGGUUGAUUCACUCCAGCCUCCUUCAUCGUUUGGCGUCUCAGGAGCCUUUUUUGUCCUAGGAGACAGAAAGGAAAAUAAAAAACAGAGGAAGAGGUUACAGGUGGGAAAAUGUCCGGGAAUCCCAAAGUCUAAACUCAGAGACCUAGACUCAGGAUCCAGCCUGCACCUCAGCCUUUCCCUGUUCCCUCCAUGUGCCCUAUUAGAGAUUGUAAGCCCCUCGGGGCAGGACCCUUUCGAUGAAGGGUCAUGUGCAGCGAUGGCGCAAAGAAAUAAUUCAGAAGUAAUUUCACCAGGCUCCUCCCCGUGCAAGCUGAAGCCUGCUAGGCGCCUUUCCUGAAUACUCCAAAGCCAAGCCCUGGCUCCAUGGCUCACCUGAAUUAAUGGAAUCCUCUUGCCUCCAAGUUUGGAGAGAGCCCCUUCUUUCGGCAUUGAACGGCCACAUGCUCAGAGCGAUGGUGGCUGUAUCCAGCUCAGCUUCAGCCCCUCCCCUCGUGCCCCCUUCUAGAACCCACCGCUCUCCACCGACUCACCUGCCCCCCCCCUCAAACUCCCUUUCCCCAUGGAAUUAACUUACCACAAUCUCCAAUGUUUCUUUCAGUGGCACACCAGCCUCCUUCAUGGUUUGCCGUCUCAGCAGCCUUUUAUGUCCUAGGAGACAGAAAGGAAAAUAAAAAAGGAAGAGGUUACAUGGCUCCAUGGCUCACCUGAAUAAAGGGAAUCCUCCUGCUGCCAAGUUGCACAUGCUCAGAGCCAUGGCGGCUGUGUCCAGCUCAGCUUCAGCCCCCCCCCCGGGCCCCCUUCUAGAACCCACAGCUCUCAACCGACUCUCACCUGCCCCCCUUCAAGCUCCCUUUCCAAGCCUCCCUCCAUCUUCCGUCUCCACCAGAAUUCCACUCUCUCUCUUCCCCCUCCCUCCCUGCUUGACAUUCCCUUUGGAAUUGUAAUAGCAUCACCUCACAAUAAUACUAUUGCCACUCAUCUCCUCUAGGCCUCCUACCUGGAGAAUCCAUCUUUCUCUACCAACUCUCACUGUCAUCUGACAGGCAUCCCCCCUUGCAGGGCAUUAUAAGGCUUGCUUGCAAAGCAGCACUUUGUGACAUCAGCUGGCAAACGGGCCAGGCUGCUGGGUUGUCCGGCAGCUGAAUGAAGAAAAAUAAAACCAGACUUGCGGAGGCGAGGGAGGGCUGCUGUGGGGUCCCUGGCCCUCAGGAGGGGUACACCUCCUGUUCAGCAGGAAACGCAUGCAAACAAUAACUUUCAAGAUAAAUACUGAACCAAAAGCAACCUAAGAGAAUGGUUUUUUUUUAAUGACUGGAUAAACCACUCAUUCAAUUGUAUCACCACUUGACUGAAUUUGUGUUUACCUCCUGCCCUUCCAAGCCACUACAAUGGCCCUACGAGCCCUGCUGGGCACCUCUCAGAAUCCGAACUCACCCCGCACCCUUCCUCCUUCCUUCUCCAUCAUCCUUCUUGCUGUUGCAGCACACAUUCAGGGCUCCUGUCUCCUCCUAGACUACAUUCAGAGAUGAAAAAGCAACAGAGCGUAAGAUCCUCCUUUUGCUGCAAAAUAACUGUUUAUGAAUACAGAUUCAAGUCCCAGAAAGUGCCUGCAAAAACAAAUAGCUUUUUCCUUUGGAAAUAAAAACAAAACAAAACUACACAAUAUUUUACGAAAGGAAGAGGAUUCACUCCAGGCUCACAGGCUCCACUGAGAGGCCCUAUUUCACGGAUGCUUUUGUGGAGAUUCCUGCAUUGCAGGGGGGUUGGACUAGUUGACUCUUCCAAUUCUAUGAUUCUGUGUAGUUCCUGCUACAUAUGAAAUGGUUUGGUAUUUUUACAGGGGAAAUCGGAUCAGUUGUAGAAGGGUUAGGCCAGAGACCGAGGGCCCAAACUGCAACCCAAAACCCACUUAUUUCUCGCAAAGUGCCAACCUGGAAGUUUAACCUGUAUAUCAGUUUUUCUGUGUGUUUCACGCUUCUUCUGUAUGACUGCUGUUGUGAUAAAUAAUCCUUCAUAAGAGUUAUUGCCUUACAUUCUUCAUUAAAAUUAUCUUGCCAUUGAUAUAUAA